RNAcentral lists this non-coding RNA (26 nucleotides) under Mus musculus (house mouse). Lineage: Eukaryota; Metazoa; Chordata; Mammalia; Rodentia; Muridae. The record is from RNAcentral.
UGUGCAAAAGUUGCCCAGGUGGUACU